Molecule: ribosomal RNA, 506 nt
Filed under: uncultured bacterium
Lineage: Bacteria
Description: partial 16S ribosomal RNA
Rfam family: Bacterial small subunit ribosomal RNA
Source: RNAcentral
AGUGAACGCUGGCGGUAGGCCUAACACAUGCAAGUCGAACGGCAGCACAGGAGAGCUUGCUCUCUGGGUGGCGAGUGGCGGACGGGUGAGGAAUACAUCGGAAUCUACUCUGUCGUGGGGGAUAACGUAGGGAAACUUACGCUAAUACCGCAUACGACCUACGGGUGAAAGCAGGGGAUCUUCGGACCUUGCGCGAUUGAAUGAGCCGAUGUCGGAUUAGCUAGUUGGCGGGGUAAAGGCCCACCAAGGCGACGAUCCGUAGCUGGUCUGAGAGGAGGAGCAGCCACACUGGAACUGAGACACGGUCCAGACUCCUACGGGAGGCAGCAGUGGGGAAUAUUGGACAAUGGGCGCAAGCCUGAUCCAGCCAUACCGCGUGGGUGAAGAAGGCCUUCGGGUUGUAAAGCCCUUUUGUUGGGAAAGAAAUCCAGCUGGCUAAUACCCGGUUGGGAUGACGGUACCCAAAGAAUAAGCACCGGCUAACUUCGUGCCAGCCGCCGCCGUAA